This is a long non-coding RNA of Strigops habroptila (Kakapo), 1592 nucleotides long. The record is from Ensembl. Lineage: Eukaryota; Metazoa; Chordata; Aves; Psittaciformes; Psittacidae.
UGAAGGCUCUGGGCUGCUUUUUAUUCUAUUUCAUGUUCAUCUACCAUCUAAAUCCAGAAGGCUGUAUGGAAAGCUACUUCUUCUUUUCAGCUCUGGAAGCUGGCACCACAAGUCAUGCAGGCUUAUCACUGGGCCAUGCAGAGUGCUCUACUUUUCUGGUGUCUUCUCUAGACCUAGAGCUGUUGAUCAAUUGGUGUUAUAAUAGGUCUUACAGUGGGAUAAAAGUUAACUAACACAGUCACCCUCAAGAUGGAUGUCAAAUUAGUGUAUUUACAACUAAAAACUCAGUUUAGUGUCCUCUUAAUCAAUGAGGGGGAAAAAGGCACAUGAGACAUACCAGAACUGCUAACCUUUUCUGCAACUGCCAGAUGAUUAUACUUGUUUAAAAAAACCCAAAACUGUAGUGAUCAGGAACUCACCGUAGACUCAAACUUUUCAAGAUACUUUGCCUUUAAUUUCAUUUGCUAGUUGGAGUCUUGAAGUGUAGGAAAUCACAGAAAAUGUCUUGCAUUCCCAUAAUAAUAUUAGCUCACAAUUGUCUUCUGCUUAUAAUUGAGGUUUUACAUGUAAUCAUACAAUUGUAUAAAUUUAUUUCCUUUCUACAUAAAAAUUAUUCUGUGUUCUACUGCAAAAUUUAGUAUGAGGAAAGCAAACUCUGAUUGCAGUUUCUUAAUCAACGGUUGAUGUGGUGUCAGAGCUCACUUCUGAUUUAUGAAGAGAGCCUGUCACGGAGGCUGCUUCCCAGCAUUGGCAAGUGAAUUACAAGGCCAGCAGAGGAGAUGGAGAUAUUGGUGUUUGGCCUGUGAAGCAGCAGUGGCACCUCUAGACCGGAUGAUCUUUCAUGUUUCUAGGAUACCCAAAUUCAUAACUCAGAAGGAAACCCUUUCCAUGUAGGUCUAAUGCUUCCCUAAGCAGGAUCAGCUGUCUAAUUGAAAGAACUGGCUUUAAUGUUUGUUGCCUUGGAACUCAUUACCUCUUCUGUGGUUAACCACAGGAAAAUUAAGGCAGGUUGCCAACAGGACACAGCACCCAACACAUGAAUAGUCCCUUCAUGUCCCUCAGGCAGGCUGGAUGGGAGCACGUUGACCUUUCCUGCUCUCCUUCCCGUGCCUGCCAGUGUAAGGCAGGGGGCCCUUGUGGUUCCACUGAUUCACUUCGGAGUUGUUGCUGGUUGGCUGUGUUUGCUGGUGGAGGGCCAACUCAUUUUUGACAGGCUUGGCUUUGUAUCCAUUCUGGGAACAUUGUUCCACAUCAGCUUUUUUAGCAGUUAAGUUAAACCUGCAAAAUUGACUCUGUCUUUUCAGUCCUAGGCCUGUUUUAUUGGUAGCUUCUCUUCUUCCAUCCUGCCCUUCCCUGAUUGUACUAAUAUACAUGGGGCUAGGCUGUGGUUGAAGCAAUCCAAUACAAAAUAGCUAAUGUCGCUGAAAACAUUAACCAAGUUGCCUGUGACAGCUUGUAGCAGUGAAGGUGUGAGCUACUUGGGCUCUAUUUAUGAAGAGCUUUUGUCACAGUUGCUUCUAGAUGUUAAAUCUCAAGGUCAAAUUGCUUUUGACAAGACUGGAAAAAAUGUCUUAAAUCUCUUGAUUGCAAAA